RNAcentral lists this ribosomal RNA (492 nucleotides) under uncultured bacterium. RNAcentral's name for it is "partial 16S ribosomal RNA". It matches the Rfam family "Bacterial small subunit ribosomal RNA", at positions 29 to 507 of the family's 1533-position model. The record is from RNAcentral.
AGUGAACGCUGGCGGCAUGCCUAACACAUGCAAGUCGAACGGCAGCACAGUAAGAGCUUGCUCUUACGGGUGGCGAGUGGCGGACGGGUGAGGAAUACAUCGGAAUCUACUUUUUCGUGGGGGAUAACGUAGGGAAACUUACGCUAAUACAGCAUACGACCUACGGGUGAAAGCAAAGGAUAUUCGGACCUUGCGCGACUGAAUGAGCCGAUGUUGGAUUAGCUAGUUGGCUGGGUAAAGGCCCACCAAGGCGACGAUCCGUAGCUGGUCUGAGCGGAUGAUCAGCCACACUGGAACUGAGACACGGUCCAGACUCCUACGGGAGGCAGCAGUGGGGAAUAUUGGGCAAUGGGCGAAAGCCUGAUCCAGCCAUACCGCGUGAGUGAAGAAGGCCUUCGGGUUGUAAAGCCCUUUUGUUGGGAAAGAAAAGCAGCAGGUUAAUACCCCGCUAUUCUGACGGUACCCAAAGAAUAAGCACCGGCUAACUUCGUG